GGGGGGGGGGGGGGGGGGGGGGGGGGGGGGGGGGGGGGGGGGGGGGGGCGGCGGGGCGGCGGGGGGGGCGGGGACGCGGGGGGGGAACGGGUGGGCAACAGGGGGGUGGGCGGCCCCCAACUGGGGGAUAGGCCGGGGAAGCUGGGGCGAAUUCCCGAGAGGCCUGCAGGGGGGGGCCGGCGGGGGCAAACGCGCUUCUACGGGUUGGGGGUGCGCUCGCGGGCUAUCAGGUUGUUGGGGGGGUAAUGGCCUACCACGGCGGCGACGGGUCGCCGGCCUGAGAGGGUGGACGGCCGCAUUGGGACUGGGUUCCGGCCCAGACUCCUACGGGAGGCAGCAGUGGGGAGUAUUGCACAAUGGGCGGAAGCCUGAUGCAGCGACGCCGCGUGGGGGAUGCCGGCCUUCGGGUUGUAAACUCCUUUCGACCGCGAGGAAGCCACCUGGUUGGAAGGGUGGUGACGGUAGUGGUAGAAGAAGCACCGGCUAACUACGUG
RNAcentral lists this ribosomal RNA (494 nucleotides) under uncultured bacterium. Its description in RNAcentral is "partial 16S ribosomal RNA". The stretch from base 65 to 494 matches the Rfam family "Bacterial small subunit ribosomal RNA", at positions 39 to 507 of the family's 1533-position model. The record is from RNAcentral.